UUAGGACCUUCCUCUUGCUGCUCACGCUGAUUCCCGGGCUCAGUUAACCAUUAAAACCGAGUUCAACAUCAAAAACUGGAAUGACCACCCGCCGGCGCCUCUUCUUCCUAUGGUUGCUUUCUUCUCUUGCUUGAUUGAUUAAAUCCACACACUUAGGAUGGAUACCACUCAGGUAAGGUUCACAAAGACUCAAGCAAUUUGGGUGGAGAAGAAAUCACGAAGAAGAUGAAGACAUAAGACAUGGCUUGGACACGGCAGUUUCUUCUUCCUCACGGC
This 276-nucleotide long non-coding RNA is filed under the name Olea europaea (common olive). Its description in RNAcentral is "long non-coding RNA (OEUR_LNC015578)". Lineage: Eukaryota; Viridiplantae; Streptophyta; Magnoliopsida; Lamiales; Oleaceae. The record is from RNAcentral.